GCUGGCGGCGUGCUCAUACAUGCAAGUCGAACGAUAAGGUCUCUUCGGAGAUACAUAAGUGGCGGACGGGUGAGUAAAAUGUAGAGAAUCUGCCCUAGAGAUGGGGACAACAGUUGGAAACGACUGCUAAUACCCAAUAUGAGCGUAGUUGAAAUACUAUUCUUGAAAACUCCGGUGCUCUGGGAUGAGUCUGCAUCUGAUUAGCUAGUUGGAGGUGUAAUGGACCACCAAGGCGACGAUCAGUAGCUGGUUUGAGAGGAUGAUCAGCCACAAUGGGACUGAGACGCGGCCCAUACUCCUACGGGAGGCAGCAGUAGGGAAUUUUGCGCAAUGGGGGAAACCCUGACGCAAGCAACGCCGCGUGAAUGAAGAAGCCCUUCGGGGUGUAAAGUUCUGUCAGUAGGGAAGAAUAAAUGACUGUACCUACAGAGGAAGCAUCGGCUAACUCCGUGCCAGCCGCAGC
RNAcentral lists this ribosomal RNA (463 nucleotides) under uncultured bacterium. RNAcentral describes it as "bacterial SSU rRNA". It matches the Rfam family "Bacterial small subunit ribosomal RNA", at positions 35 to 518 of the family's 1533-position model. The record is from RNAcentral.